RNAcentral lists this ribosomal RNA (254 nucleotides) under uncultured bacterium. RNAcentral describes it as "partial 16S ribosomal RNA". It matches the Rfam family "Bacterial small subunit ribosomal RNA", at positions 57 to 305 of the family's 1533-position model. The record is from RNAcentral.
GCAAGUCGACCGCUGAAGCCCUGGUGCUUGCACCGGGGUGGAUGAGUGGCGAACGGGUGAGUAACACGUGAGUAACCUGCCCCCGACUUCGGGAUAAGCCCUGGAAACUUGGUCUAAUACCGGAUAUGACGACCGAAGGCAUCUUUGGUUGUGGAAAGUUUUUUCGGUUGGGGAGGGGCUCGCGGACUAUCAGUUUGUGGGUGAGGUAAUGGCUCACCAAGACGACGACGGGUAGCCGUCCUGAGAGGGCGACC